AGAGUUUGAUCCUGGCUGAGGACGACCGCUGGCGGCGCGCCUAACGCAUGCAAGUCGAACGAGCGAGAGAGAGCUUGCUUUCUCGAGCGAGUGGCGAACGGGUGAGUAACGCGUGAGGAACCUGCCUCAAAGAGGGGGACAACAGUUGGAAACGACUGCUAAUACCGCAUAAGCCCACGGGUCGGCAUCGACCAGAGGGAAAAGGAGCAAUCCGCUUUGAGAUGGCCUCGCGUCCCAUCCGCUAGCUGGUGAGGUAAUGGCCCACCAAGGCGACGAUCGGUAGCCGGACUGAGAGGUUGAACGGCCACAUUGGGACUGAGACACGGCCCAGACUCCUACGGGAGGCAGCAGUGGGGAAUAUUGCACAAUGGGGGAAACCCUAAUGCAGCGACGCCGCGUGGAGGAAGAAGGUCUUCGGAUUGUAAACUCCUGUUGUUGGGGAAGAUAAUGACGGUGCCCAACAUGUGAGUGACGGCUAACUACGUGCCAGCGGCCGUGGUAAAAUUAGGUCACCAAGCUUGUUCGGAAUUACUGGGGGUAAAAGGGGGGCAGGCGGGAAGGCAAGUGGGAAAGUGAAAUUUAGGGGCUCAACCCAUAAACUGCUUUCAAAAAUUGUUUUUCUUGAGUAGGGCAGAGGGUAGGCGGAAUUCCCCGGUGUAGCGGUGGAAAUGCGUAGAUAUCGGGAGGAACACCAGUGGCGAAGGCGGCCUACUGGGCACCAACUGACGCUGAGGCUCGAAAGUGUGGGUAGCAAACAGGAUUAGAUACCCUGGUAGUCCACACCGUAAACGAUGAUUACUAGGUGUUGGAGGAUUGACCCCUUCAGUGCCGCAGUUAACACAAUAAGUAAUCCACCUGGGGAGUACGACCGCAAGGUUGAAACUCAAAGGAAUUGACGGGGGCCCGCACAAGCAGUGGAGUAUGUGGUUUAAUUCGACGCAACGCGAAGAACCUUACCAAGUCUUGACAUCCCUUGACAGGCAUAGAAAUAUGUUUUCUCUUCGGAGCAAGGAGACAGGUGGUGCAUGGUUGUCGUCAGCUCGUGUCGUGAGAUGUUGGGUUAAGUCCCGCAACGAGCGCAACCCUUAUGGUCGGUUACUACGUAAGAGGACUCUGGCCAGACUGCCGUUGACAAAACGGAGGAAGGUGGGGAUGACGUCAAAUCAUCAUGCCCUUUAUGACUUGGGCUACACACGUACUACAAUGGCGUUAAACAAAGAGAAGCAAGACCGCGAGGUGGAGCAAAACUCAGAAACAACGUCCCAGUUCGGACUGCAGGCUGCAACUCGCCUGCACGAAGUCGGAAUUGCUAGUAAUCGUGGAUCAGCAUGCCACGGUGAAUACGUUCCCGGGCCUUGCACUCACCGCCCGUCA
Molecule: ribosomal RNA, 1374 nt
Filed under: uncultured bacterium
Lineage: Bacteria
Description: bacterial SSU rRNA
Rfam family: Bacterial small subunit ribosomal RNA
Source: RNAcentral